GUCUAUGACCGUGCCACCCUGAACGUGCCUGAUCUCGUCUGAUCUUGAAAGCUAAGCAGGGUCGGGCCUGGUUAGUACUUGGAUGGGAGACAACGUAGGAAUACCAGGUGCUGUAGGUG
Molecule: ribosomal RNA, 119 nt
Filed under: Pteropus alecto (black flying fox)
Lineage: Eukaryota; Metazoa; Chordata; Mammalia; Chiroptera; Pteropodidae
Source: RNAcentral